RNAcentral lists this ribosomal RNA (564 nucleotides) under Triticum aestivum (bread wheat). Its description in RNAcentral is "partial small subunit ribosomal RNA". Lineage: Eukaryota; Viridiplantae; Streptophyta; Magnoliopsida; Poales; Poaceae. The record is from RNAcentral.
AUGGCGCUAAGCGUCGCGCAAUCCCUGGUGGGAAGUGCCGUAAACAGGGCGGCCUCCGAGGCCAUGGAUGAGAUGGCAUUGCUCAUGGGAGUGCGGAACGAGACAUGGUACAUCAAAGACGAGCUAAGAAUAAUGCAAGCUUUCUUGAGAACUGCUGAAAGGAUGAAGGAUAGAGAUGAGCUGGUCAAAGUUUGGGCAGAGCAAGUAGAGGAUCUAUCCUACCACAUUAAAUAUUGCAUGGACGAGUUCCAGGUAAAUAUGGGCCACCCAAGCUGCUUGCAUAGGCUGACGAAGCUUAGAGUUCGCCAUCAAAUUGCCGUCCAGAUCCGCAACCUGAAAGUAAGAGUUGGAGAUGUAAGCGCCAGGAUCCAGCGGUAUAGUCAUUUAAUGAGGCCCAUUACCUCUGCAAGCAUGGAUGAGGGGAAAUUAUGCAAGGACGAGACCACUUCUUUCAUGGAAGGUAUCUGCAUUCAUUCACAUGGAUUUUUUGAUGAAUCAGAGCUUGUGGGCUUUUCUAGGCCGAAUGAGGAGUUGAUUAAUCUGAUGGAUGUUUUCUAUACCUAA